AUGACCGUUUUGAUUUUUUCUGGAACAAACAUUCAUUAUUUUUGUUACCAUCGUCUUGGAUUUUUUUGCCGGAACCGGUGUAUUUUUGUGCUACAACUGUUCUUUAAUUUUGCUGGAACCAACCCACCUUUUUUGUUUGUGAUUUUGACGAUGGCGAGCAUGCGGACGGUGAGCGUCGACGGCGAGCGAUGGGCCCGUCGCCACUGGAGCUGCAACCGUCGCUAUCGGAGCUGCAAUUGCAGGGCACAACUGUUGCAUGCGUGGAGUCAGAGACAAGUGCAGGCGGCGACCGGCGGCGAGUGCGGCGACCGGCGACGAGGACAUCCGGCGAGGGUGACGAGGACGGCCGAUGAGGUGCGGCAACCGGCGACGAGGACAUCCGGCGAUGGCGGCGAGGACAAAUGGAGCGAUAACCCGGGAAGACAAAGGGAGCGAUGA
RNAcentral lists this ribosomal RNA (438 nucleotides) under Triticum aestivum (bread wheat). RNAcentral's name for it is "partial small subunit ribosomal RNA". Lineage: Eukaryota; Viridiplantae; Streptophyta; Magnoliopsida; Poales; Poaceae. The record is from RNAcentral.